RNAcentral lists this ribosomal RNA (239 nucleotides) under Nitrosospira sp. RNAcentral describes it as "partial 16S ribosomal RNA". It matches the Rfam family "Bacterial small subunit ribosomal RNA", at positions 259 to 490 of the family's 1533-position model. Lineage: Bacteria; Pseudomonadati; Pseudomonadota; Betaproteobacteria; Nitrosomonadales; Nitrosomonadaceae. The record is from RNAcentral.
AAAGGCUUACCAAGGCGACGAUCAGUAGCUGGUCUGAGAGGACGACCAGCCACACUGGGACUGAGACACGGCCCAGACUCCUACGGGAGGCAGCAGUGGGGAAUUUUGGACAAUGGGGGAAACCCUGAUCCAGCCAUGCCGCGUGAGUGAAGAAGGCCUUCGGGUUGUAAAGCUCUUUCAGCCGGAACGAAACGGUCACGGCUAAUACCUGUGACUACUGACGGUACCGGAAGAAGAAG